RNAcentral lists this ribosomal RNA (365 nucleotides) under uncultured eukaryote. Its description in RNAcentral is "partial 18S ribosomal RNA". It matches the Rfam family "Eukaryotic small subunit ribosomal RNA", at positions 592 to 975 of the family's 1831-position model. The record is from RNAcentral.
CAAUAGCGUAUAAUAACGUUGUUGCAGUUAAAAAGCUCGUAGUUGGAUUUCUGGAGGGAGCGUCGGCCCGUAUUUACGAGUGCGUGACGUCUCUGUCCAUCCUUGCGGGAAGGCACGGCAUUGAUUUGUUGUGUCGGAUCGCAUCAUUUACUGUGAAAAAAUUAGAGUGUUCAAAGCAGGCUUUCGCUUGAAUACAUUAGCAUGGAAUAAUAAGAUAGGACUUUGGUGCUAUUUUGUUGGUUGAGCCUAAAGUAAUGAUUAAUAGGGAUAGUUGGGGGCACCUGUAUUGCGUUGUCAGAGGUGAAAUUCUUGGAUUUACGCAAGACAAACAGCUGCGAANGNGUCUGCNAAGGAUGUUUNCAUUA